AACGAACGCUGGCGGCAUGCCUAACACAUGCAAGUCGAACGAGACCUUCGGGUCUAGUGGCGCACGUGUGCGUAACGCGUGGGAACCUGCCCUUAGGUUCGGAAUAACUCCCCGAAAGGGGUGCUAAUACCGGAUAAUCUCUUCGCACCAAAGAUGUAUCGCCUUUGGAUGGGCCCGCGUUGGAUUAGCUAGUUGGUAGGGUAAAAGCCUACCAAGGCGACGAUCCAUAGCUGGUCUGAGAGGAUGAUCAGCCACACUGGGACUGAGACACGGCCCAGACUCGUACGGGAGGCAGCAGUGGGGAAUAUUGGACAAUGGGCGAAAGCCUGAUCCAGCAAUGCCGGGUGAGUGAUGAAGGGGUUAGGGUUGUAAAGCUGUUUUACCCGGGAUGAUAAUGACAGUACCGGGAGAAUAAGCUCCGGCUAACUACGUG
Molecule: ribosomal RNA, 433 nt
Filed under: uncultured bacterium
Lineage: Bacteria
Description: partial 16S ribosomal RNA
Rfam family: Bacterial small subunit ribosomal RNA
Source: RNAcentral